AAGUCGUAACAAGGUUUCCGUAGGUGAACCUGCGGAAGGAUCAUUAACAAAAUACUAUGUGUGUCUUUGUAGUCUCGGCAACGAGGCUGCACUGCACAUAUACUAAAACCAAAAUUUACCCAUCUGUGCAACAACAAAAACAAAACAAGAAGAGAGGCAAAUUACUGCGUGCCUGCGUUGAUGCGUUCGCGCCUGUUAACGUAAGUGUUGUUUUCUCUUCUCAAUUGACCAAUUCCACAAACUAUUAUUAACUUUAUUAACCAACCAUUACCGUAACGUUUUCCAGUGUUGAUUCGUUCGCACUUUGGGACGUACUAAACCAACAGCAUGUACCUACUUUUUGAGGUCAUGCACCAUUACUAUUCAUAAAAAAUAGAGAAAUACAACUCUUAACAAUGGAUAUCUUGGCUCUC
This 413-nucleotide unclassified non-coding RNA is filed under the name fungal sp. RNAcentral describes it as "partial internal transcribed spacer region". The stretch from base 1 to 46 matches the Rfam family "Eukaryotic small subunit ribosomal RNA", at positions 1786 to 1831 of the family's 1831-position model. The record is from RNAcentral. Lineage: Eukaryota; Fungi.